UACGUAGGUGGCAAGCGUUGUCCGGAAUUAUUGGGCGUAAAGGGCGUGUAGGUGGAUUCUUAAGUCGUGUGUCUAAGUGCGGAGCUCAACUCCGUAUGGGCGCAGGAAACUGGGAAUCUUGAGUGCAGGAGAGGAAAGUGGAAUUCCCAGUGUAGCGGUGAAAUGCGUAGAUAUUGGGAGGAACACCAGUGGCGAAGGCGACUUUCUGGACUGUGUCUGACAAUGAGGCGCGAAAGAUAGGGGAGCGAACGGG
RNAcentral lists this ribosomal RNA (253 nucleotides) under uncultured bacterium. Its description in RNAcentral is "partial 16S ribosomal RNA". It matches the Rfam family "Bacterial small subunit ribosomal RNA", at positions 524 to 776 of the family's 1533-position model. The record is from RNAcentral.